UAGUGCUGAUAAUGUGGCAGUGACAAGGUUAUGGGAAGGCUAUUACAUGUCAGAACCACCAGAGAUGCUCAUCAACACAACCUUAUAAUCUAUAAUCAUUGCAGUUGUACUAGAAUAACAGAUAUCAACUUGCAGCUAUGGAGAAAAAGUUCUGUUGCAUGAUUGCAUAUGCAUUCCUGACCACCAUAAUAGCUAUGAGCCUUUCCACUGAUCAAACUGCUCUCCUUUCACUAAAACAACACAUCACCUCUGAUCCCUUUGCUGCAGUUUCAAGAAACUGGACCAAUUCGAGCUCUGUCUGCAGCUGGAUUGGCGUCACUUGCAGCUCGCGCCACCACAGAGUUGCUGCCUUGAAUCUCUCCCACAUGAGUCUCUCUGGCACCAUUCCACCACAGCUCGGACACCUCUCGUUCCUCGUCUCCCUCGACCUCAAAUCCAACCUUCUCAGUGGAGCUAUCCCUCAGGUGUUAGAAAUCCUUAUCAUCAUCUAAAGAGACUUAACAAAACAUUUCCUUCUUGUGUUAUUUGUUUUCUCAGUUUGAUAGAAUCUUAUAAGUGAAUCCACUACUCUUAGUAGCAUACUAUCCUGAUUUAAUCUAUGUAUCUUUUGUCAGGAGCUGUCUCUCCUCCCAGCGGCGUAACUAGAAAAUUAAACAAGCAGAGGCUGAAAUUUAAAUAUAUAUAUAUAUAUAUAUAUAUAUAUAUAUAUAUAGGGUCAUGUUAAUGUCCUUUUCUAUCAUUAGAUUUAAGUUCCAAUUCGAUUUGGAUCAUUGGAUCUACGAGAUGAACGACCCGGAUUUGAUUAGUAAUUAAGCACCCCGUAGUUCAUUAUUUCGACUAUUUCGUGCAUUAUGAGGGUGAAUUAGUAAUUUUAUAGUAUCAAAUCUGGAGAAAACGAGGAGGCGCGAAUUUAGCGGGAUACACCCACUGAAUUCCAUCUACCGCCUCAUUCUUCACAAACCGCAUUUACUCCCCUUAUCUCUCCACUAUCCUUCUCAAAUUCCAUCCGACUAGCAAAUCCCUAGCCGCCGCGGACAUUGUUAUCGGUGAUUAAACCGUUUUUCAGUCGAAUUCCAUGCUUGUCGUCGGUUCCGAACAUUACUCCAACGCGUUCUAAGCAUAGAUCUUAAAAUGCCGAAAAGAGGACGGCCCACCAAUUCGCAGCAAUCCCAGCAAGAUUGGGACUAAGCAACUGAGAAUGAACAUAGAGAAGGCGGUUGAUGUUUUAAUUUACUCUCCAAGGGUUUAGCAAUCUCGUGGGCUAGGGUGUACUAUGGAGUAAGUAACACAACCGUCGGCAAAGUCCACGAGUUCCAGUCAUACCUCUAGGGUUUAGAUAUCAUCAACGUUAGGGAGUAGUUAU
This is a long non-coding RNA of Salvia splendens (bonfire salvia), 1363 nucleotides long. RefSeq lists it as uncharacterized. The record is from RefSeq and is a predicted model, not a curated record. Lineage: Eukaryota; Viridiplantae; Streptophyta; Magnoliopsida; Lamiales; Lamiaceae. The transcript is spliced from 3 exons.